GAGUGCGCCCUGCUUUACGGCCACUGCAAACGUCUCCGCGUAGGUCCCGCAGCCCAGGAAGGCAGAGCCUGCUGAGGGCGUCAGAGAAGAUGAGAGCGCCUGAGCAGCGCUCCAGCUGUCACCGCGUGAGCCCCGAAGACUAAUGCAGAGAAUCAACAAGAACGUGGUUUUGGCGCUUCUCACUUUGACCAGCUCGGUGUUUCUUCUGUUCCAGCUGUAUUACUAUAAGUACUACUUGUCUCCAAAGAAUGGACCAGCUUUUUCAAGAGUCAAAGGAAGCCAGUCAGGACAGGACAACACAAGAUGGCAUGUGGUUAAGAAAUUCUUAGGUUUAGUGUCCAGUCACAACGUACCAGUGUAUCUUAUUGAUCCUUUGGUUCUGGGACUAAUAAAUAAAGACAUCAAGCAGCUCAGAAGUUCUUCUGAUGGAAGUAGCCCAGAAUGCAAGUAUUUCUGUGCUCCAAGGGACUUUACCACAUUUGCACUACUGGACAAAACAUGGAAACAUGAAACAGGCUUAUUUAGAUCUGCUGAGAAAAUGGGGUUCCAAUGGCUAAAGAUUCAAAACAAAGACCCCCGCUUGGAAGGGAUGGAUGACCUCUCUGGAAUUGAAAUUCCACUACACUAUAUCUUCAGAUUGGCAUCUCAUGCCAUCCAUGUGGUAGUCUUUUAUGAGAGGAGUGGUAACUACCUCUGGCAUGGCCAGUUGCGGCUAAAACAACACAUGGACAGAAAAUUUGUGCCUUUCCGGAAGCUGCACUUUGGUCGCUACCCUGGAGCUUAUGGAAAGCUAGUACUUCUCCCUGUUUCCAUUGAUGAAUUGAAAGUUCAGAUUCCUAAAAAUCCGUCCCAGUUUCUAGAGGAGAUGUCACACGCUAGAUUUCUUGAAUGUAGGUACAGAGAAGCUCGGGCUUUCUUUCAGCUGUACCCUGAUGAUACCUCCCUGGAUGCAGUGGAAUUCAGGAAAAAAGCAAAAGCACUGCUGCAUUUGGCUGCCCUAACGCUAAAUAACUUAGGAGUGAGAUUCUGGCUGAGCAGUGGAACAUGCCUUGGCUGGUAUAGACAGUGCAAUAUUAUUCCUUACAGCAAAGAUGUUGAUUUGGGGAUCUUUAUAAAAGACUACAAAUCUGAUAUCAUUCCAGCAUUUUGGAAGGCAGGAUUACCACUAAAGCACAAGUUUGGCAAGGUAGAAGACAGCUUGGAGCUCUCCUUUCAAGGAGAAGGUGACGUGAAACUUGAUAUUUUUUUCUUCUAUGAAGAGGAUGACCACAUAUGGAAUGGAGGAACUCAGGCCAAAUCGGGCAAGAAAUUUAAGUACCUGUUUCCGAAGUUUACACUGUGUUGGACUGAGUUUGUAGAACUCAAGGUACAUGUGCCCUGCGAAACCCUCCAGUAUAUUGAAGCCAACUAUGGCAAGGACUGGAAGGAACCUGUGAAGACAUGGGACUGGAAAAGCUCUCCACCCAAUAGCAUUAUGGCUGUAUCCAAGUCACUGCUUCUCUGUCAGCAGCUGGUUAGAUAGGACAAAUCUUUGAGUUUCCAUGAUCAUCUGAAAAUACAAAAGGGCAAUAGCAACAAUAAGAAAUUCCUAAUAUUUGGCAUCCCAGUAGCAAUGUCUACAGCAGGGGAAUCUUAGAUUUAAAUUUAUUAUGAUGAAAG
Molecule: RNA transcript, 1659 nt
Organism: Alligator sinensis (Chinese alligator)
Lineage: Eukaryota; Metazoa; Chordata; Crocodylia; Alligatoridae
Gene: FKTN
Gene name: fukutin
Exons: 13
Source: RefSeq, a predicted model, not a curated record